GUCGGCCUACGGGGGGCAGCAGUGAGGAAUAUUGGUCAAUGGCCGAGAGGCUGAACCAGCCAAGUCGCGUGAGGGAUGACGGCCCUACGGGUUGUAAACCUCUUUUGUCGGGGAGCAAAGAGAGUCACGUGUGGCUCAUUGAGAGUACCCGAAGAAAAAGCAUCGGCUAACUCCGUGCCAGCAGCCGCGGUAAUACGGAGGAUACGAGCGUUAUCCGGAUUUAUUGGGUUUAAAGGGUGCGCAGGCGGUCUGUUACGUCAGCGGUCAAAGCCCGGGGCUCAACCCCGGCCCGCC
This 294-nucleotide ribosomal RNA is filed under the name uncultured bacterium. RNAcentral's name for it is "partial 16S ribosomal RNA". It matches the Rfam family "Bacterial small subunit ribosomal RNA", at positions 334 to 624 of the family's 1533-position model. The record is from RNAcentral.